Molecule: unclassified non-coding RNA, 379 nt
Filed under: plant metagenome
Description: partial contains 5.8S ribosomal RNA, internal transcribed spacer 2, and large subunit ribosomal RNA
Rfam family: 5.8S ribosomal RNA (bases 1-106)
Source: RNAcentral
CGAAAUGCGAUAAGUAAUGUUAAUUGCAGAAUUCAGUGAAUCAUCGAAUCUUUGAACGCACCUUGCGCUCCUUGGUAUUCCUUGGAGCAUGCCUGUUUGAGUAUCAUGAAAUCUUCAAAGUAAAUCUUUUGUUAACUCAAUUGGUUUCUACUUUGGUAUUGGAGGUCUUUGCAGCUUCACACCUGCUCCUCUUUGUUCAUUAGCUGGAUCUCAGUGUUAUGCUUGGUUCCACUCGGCGUGAUAUGUUAUCUAUCGCUGAGGACACUGUAAAAGGUGGCCAAGGUAAAUGCAGAUGAACCGCUUCUAAUAGUCCAUUGACUUGGACAAUACUUUUAUGAUCUGAUCUCAAAUCAGGUAGGACUACCCGCUGAACUUAAGC